CAGGGAGACAACAAAAUGUUUUAUAUUAUUAUUUUGUCACCUUAGGUCGAUCGGUAUCUCACGUUUUUAAUUUAUUAAGAAUUUCAUUUCCUAAGUUUUUCUAGGUCACACCCAUUAUUUUUCCUGGGCCAUUAGCUCAGGUGGUUAGAGCGCACCCCUGAUAAGGGUGAGGUCCCUGGUUCAAGUCCAGGAUGGCCCAUAUCUCUAUGUUGGGGGUAUAGCUCAGUUGGUAGAGCGCCUGCUUUGCAAGCAGGAUGUCAGCGGUUCGAGUCCGCUUACCUCCACUGAUUACCACCUCUUCCAUAAUCUUUAGAAAGGAAAUUUUUUGAGUUGUGAUCAUAAUUCUGAACGAAUCUAGCUUCCUAAUGAAUCCAUUAAGAUGCUGGACUCAUUGAAUUAAUUUCAUUGUUUUCAGAGAACCUUGACAACUGCAUAGAUUAUUUUUAAAGACAAUAAGCAUCUUUUAUGAUGCAGAUUUUUUAUUUGUGCGAAUGCAUUAAUAACAAUUCUAUUAAGCUGAUGCUUCAAUUUUGAAGUCAUU
RNAcentral lists this transfer RNA (541 nucleotides) under uncultured cyanobacterium. Its description in RNAcentral is "partial 16S-23S ribosomal RNA intergenic spacer". The stretch from base 212 to 284 matches the Rfam family "tRNA". The record is from RNAcentral. Lineage: Bacteria; Bacillati; Cyanobacteriota.